GGAGAACUAUCGAUGGCGCUAUCGAUAACUAUCGAUAUUUUUCACUAUCGAAAACAAUCGAUAGUAUUUGGAGGCUAUCGAUAUUUUGCGAUAGUUCGUUUGGAACACAUUUCUACUUAGAUUGAGGUUAUAAAUGGUUAUAAAUAUGUGUUGUUUGUUCAUAAAGAAAGUUUAAAAUGGAUAACUUUUUAAACAUAAAAAGGAAAAAGGAAGACAGUCCGAGCAGUCGUCGUAGCAGUAAGUAAAAUUUAUAAACAAAACAUAAUGCAUUUCUAAAAGCAUUAAAUCCCCCCGAAGUUAAUUGAAUAUGUUCAAGCUAGGUUGUUCCCAUUUCCCAUAUGAAAAAAGAAGAGUAACUCAAAUGGGCACUUGAUGGAUCCUCGAUUUAAAAAGGAAGGUUUCAGAAGCAAUGAGAAUGCAGAAUGUGCAGCAUAAAUGGAGCAGGAAAUGGUCCAGAUUUUGAAAAAAGAGGAGAAAGCAGACCCCGCAGAAUCCAGAUUUAGAGAUGACAGGCCCGGCUACGAGCAGUACCUACAAGCACUACUACCACCAGCAGCAGUGGAAAUCUAUUAUUUUCUUUUAUUGAAGAAAGAAUUUGCCGGAAAAUUAAAUCAAUAACUGCAGAUGCAUUCAUCAUCAAACGUCAGUAUUUGAGAAACAAAUUGCAACUUAAAAUGAUGAUCCUCUUCUGUUCUGGAAGGUAAAUGGAAGGGAUUUACACCCACUGGAAGAAUGUAG
Long non-coding RNA from Sitophilus oryzae (rice weevil), 738 nucleotides. RefSeq lists it as uncharacterized. NCBI's taxonomy places the organism in Eukaryota, Metazoa, Arthropoda, Insecta, Coleoptera, Curculionidae. The record is from RefSeq and is a predicted model, not a curated record. The transcript is spliced from 2 exons.